UCUCAUAAAUGCCUCACUGUUAGUAUUACUUGUUUUAUUCCUGUGUAUUUUACGGGUAUUUAUUUAUUUAUUUAAUUUAUUGGGCUUUGUUAUUUUAUCCCAUUCUUAUAGAUUGUAGCCUUCUGUGAGAUCCUCUGGACUCCUGCACAGGAAGCGAAGAGUAAAAGUGGCCAAACACACAAGGAACUGGCUUUUGGAUCAAAUGACACUCGGGAGACUUUCAAGCUCUGAAUUGUUGCCAUUGCUGGCUGAAGCCAACUCAUCAGAACAGAUUGUAACAAUAACUAUUUUUAAAGACUAAUAAAGGUUUUGAUGGUUUUAUGACUGAAGAGACAUGGAUGGUGGAGUGACAGAAGUUAGAAAGCUUUUCUCUAUCUCAAUAUUGAUAUUUGCAGUUCCACUUAGUUGUGCUAUUGGAUGAUUUAUAUGUCGUACUUUCAAAGUUGCUGAUAAAUAAAUAGCUCAGUCGAUG
Molecule: long non-coding RNA, 472 nt
Organism: Candoia aspera
Lineage: Eukaryota; Metazoa; Chordata; Lepidosauria; Squamata; Candoiidae
Exons: 2
Source: RefSeq, a predicted model, not a curated record